UAGCAGCAAACAAAUGAGCUCAAGUGUGUCUCUUCUCUACAGGUGACACUGUCCAAGCUUCUGUGUGACAACUGUGACUAUGUGGAAAGUGAACAGUGGUCUGUCUUUGACCUUCCAGACCCCUUCCUGAACCCCCGAGUGUCAUGUCGCGACCUCCCCGGGGUGAACCUUGAGCUGUGGAAAGAGCGUGUGUCAUGUGGCGUAGGCAAGACUAACAUCGACAUAAGUGGAGCAGAACGCAUCUCUCCUUGUGUUAUGUGCACCUGUACCAAGGAAGGGCCUGUCUGCCAGAGCCUCAAGAUAGACAACUGCUUCCACCUGGCCCAGUCCUACAGUCCUGAGUCUAUUCUGAAUGACCACGUGUGCAAGGUGCAGUGUGCAUUUGCCUUCCGUGCCUUCCCACAAGUGGCCACUCAGGACUCCAACCAGCUCGGAUUUGCCAACAGUUAAAGAGCUGACGUCACAAGAAAUGGUUAGAGAAUAUUUUGCAAUGUCCCUAUCUUGUGAAGUAUGUUAGGGGUGGGGAUGCUCUCUCUCUCUCUCUCUCUCUCUCUCUCUCUCUCUCUCUCUCUCUCUCUCUCUCUCUCUCUCUGUCUGUCUGUCUGUGUAAGAGGCAAGUUUUGUUUUUGUUCAGCAGAUAUAUGGUAUAUUAUGACAGUAAAUUUGGGGUUGAGUGGUUGUAUUUAGCAAUGUCUCUCUGGAGUAAUGCUGUAAAUUUUUGUGUUUGUUUCUCCCUUGUAUGUAUGUAUGUAUGUUCCUCCUGCUCCUCCUCCUUGGGUUUGUGGAAGACUAUAACAUCUUACAGAAAAAAAAAAAAAAAAAAUUAAGUUGUUUUCAUAAUGCUGCUACUGCUGUUUGUAUGUAUGUAUGUAUCUAUGCAUCUGUGUAUAUGUGUGUGUGUGUGUGUGUGUGUGUGUGUGUGUGUGUGUGUGUGUAUUGAUGGAAACACACACACACACACACACACACACACACACACACACAUGAUUAGGUAGAGAACAGACACAAGAAAAGGUAUAUUCAUUCAAAUCUUGCAAAAUGACCUUAGUAUGGCCCAGAAUACAGGUCAUUUAAGGUCAAGUUGCAUGAAAUUUGGUUAUUUAGUGAGGAAUGUUGGUAUAUGUUGACCUCAGCAAGACCCAGGACACAAGGUCAUUCAAGGUCAGAUGUAUUGCUGUUUUGAAUUCAGCAGAUCCAGAAUGAAAGGUCAUUGAAGGUCAAAUUAUGUUUAUGAAGCUUUUCUAUUUAAUUUAGUGAGAUGUGUGUGUGUGUGUGUGUGUGUGUGUGUGUGUGUGUGUGUGUGUGUGUGUGUGUAUGUGUGUGUGUUCAUGUGUUAUUCAAUAUCAUUCAUCUAUGUCUUUUCAGCUCCUUUUAGCCCUAACUUAUUCAUGUGUGUUCUGUCAAUGGUCUCACUUCAUUGCACCUCCAUUCACUGUGUUAAGAAAGGAAAAGUCUCUUGGUGUGGUAGGAAACUGAAAAUUAUAUUUCUGCGUGCUUAUUUUCUUCUGCUAAGUAAACCUAACUCAUAUUUUAUCCUAGUGUGUGUGUGUGUGUGUGUGUGUGUGUGUGUGUGUGUGUGUGUGUGUGUGUGUGUAUUGUAUGUUAAUGUAAAUUGUAAUAUGUAUUUUAUUUUUUAUAAAAUAUUGGCUAAACAUGAUAUUUCUAUGUAGUAAUGUCCCUCUUCAGUCUCCCUGUGUGUGUGUGUGUGUGUGUGUGUGUGUGUGUGUGUGUGUGUGUGUGUGUGUGUGUGUGUGUGUGUGUGUGUAUUGUAUGUUAAUGUAAAUUGUAAUAUGUAUUUUAUUUUUAAUAAAAUAUUGGCUAAA
Scylla paramamosain (green mud crab) is the source of this 1823-nucleotide long non-coding RNA. RefSeq lists it as uncharacterized. Lineage: Eukaryota; Metazoa; Arthropoda; Malacostraca; Decapoda; Portunidae. The transcript has 3 exons. The record is from RefSeq and is a predicted model, not a curated record.